CCUACGGGAGGCAGCAGUGGGGAAUAUUGCACAAUGGGGGGAACCCUGAUGCAGCGACGCCGCGUGAGUGAAGAAGUAUUUCGGUAUGUAAAGCUCUAUCAGCAGGAACGAGACAAGACGGUACCUGACUAAGAAGCCCCGGCUAACUACGUGCCAGCAGCCGCGGUAAUACGUAGGGGGCAAGCGUUAUCCGGAAUCACGGGGUGGAAAGGGAGCGUAGACGGCUGAGCAAGCCUGAAGUGAAAGGCGGGGGCACAACCCCCGGACUGCUUUGGGAACUGUACGGCUGGAGUGCAGGAGAGGUAAGUGGAAUUCCUAGUGUAGCGGUGAAAUGCGUAGAUAUUAGGAGGAACACCAGUGGCGAAGGCGGCUUACUGGACUGUAACUGACGUUGAGGCUCGAAAGCGUGGGGAGCAAACAGGAUUAGAUACCCGAGUAGUC
Molecule: ribosomal RNA, 441 nt
Filed under: uncultured bacterium
Lineage: Bacteria
Description: partial 16S ribosomal RNA
Rfam family: Bacterial small subunit ribosomal RNA
Source: RNAcentral